RNAcentral lists this ribosomal RNA (492 nucleotides) under uncultured bacterium. RNAcentral describes it as "partial 16S ribosomal RNA". It matches the Rfam family "Bacterial small subunit ribosomal RNA", at positions 30 to 507 of the family's 1533-position model. The record is from RNAcentral.
AUUGAACGCUGGCGGCAUGCUUUACACAUGCAAGUCGAACGGUAACAGGCCUUCGGGUGCUGACGAGUGGCGAACGGGUGAGUAAUGCAUCGGAACGUGCCCAGAGGUGGGGGAUAACGCAGCGAAAGCUGUGCUAAUACCGCAUGUGAUCUGAGGAUGAAAGCGGGGGACCAGGCAGCAAUGUUUGGCCUCGCGCCUUUGGAGCGGCCGAUGUCAGAUUAGGUAGUUGGUGGGGUAAAGGCCUACCAAGCCGACGAUCUGUAGCUGGUCUGAGAGGACGACCAGCGACACUGGGACUGAGACACGGCCCAGACUCCUACGGGAGGCAGCAGUGGGGAAUUUUGGACAAUGGGCGCAAGCCUGAUCCAGCAAUGCCGCGUGCGGGAAGAAGGCCUUCGGGUUGUAAACCGCUUUUGUACGGAACGAAAAGGCUCUGGCUAAUACCUGGGGCUGAUGACGGUACCGUAAGAAUAAGCACCGGCUAACUACGUG